GUUACGUAUGUGGCUAGUACGUCACCUUUACUUUGAUGUAAUAUUCCCUUCCCGGCCGAAAUGUUCUAUUUUUGUCAGGUCAUUGUCGUCAUUUUAUAGGACGAUCAAUUGAUGCGGCGACACGGAUUUUUUGUUUUAUUUCUUUUUGUUUUCUUUCUUAUUGAGACAAUUUCAGGUAAGUGGGGCUUUUUUUCAAAUAUGGGUGAGCAUUUUUUCUAGUUUCCAUAAAGUGUA
Molecule: non-coding RNA, 234 nt
Organism: Paramuricea clavata
Lineage: Eukaryota; Metazoa; Cnidaria; Anthozoa; Malacalcyonacea; Plexauridae
Source: the annotation of a GenBank genome assembly